GCCCCCGUGGCGGAAUGGUAGACGCAACGGACUUAAAAUCCGUUGUCUGGUAACGGACGUGCCGGUUCAAGUCCGGCCGGGGGCACCA
Molecule: transfer RNA, 88 nt
Filed under: Rhodospirillaceae bacterium
Lineage: Bacteria; Pseudomonadati; Pseudomonadota; Alphaproteobacteria; Rhodospirillales; Rhodospirillaceae
Also listed under: 1 other name
Description: tRNA-Leu
Rfam family: tRNA
About the family: Transfer RNA (tRNA) molecules are approximately 80 nucleotides in length.
Source: RNAcentral